This 663-nucleotide long non-coding RNA is filed under the name Vitis vinifera (wine grape). RNAcentral describes it as "long non-coding RNA (VVIN_LNC000519)". The record is from RNAcentral. Lineage: Eukaryota; Viridiplantae; Streptophyta; Magnoliopsida; Vitales; Vitaceae.
UUUUUCCUCAUGCUUUUUUCCACGCUAAUACCCAUGGAUUGUGAGACCCAUCUCACCAUCUCUCCCCCUCCCCGUUGCUGCUGAUCGUGGUCGUCUUUUCUCUUGGCGGUCGCCGAUCUUGCUUGCUCCUCUGCAAUAAUCAACCAACCAUCUGAAUUCAUUCUGCAAUUUGGAGCUCCUCAGGCACAUACAUCAGGACAGAUGUCGGGGCAGGUACCUAAUCAAGCUGGAAGUCAGUUGCGCGGAUUGCCACAGCAAAAUGGAAGUUCUCUCCCUUCCCAGAUUCAAAAUCUAGAUGCACAUCGUAAUACACGGAAAAGUAUGCAACGCAAAAUCUAUGAAUAUAUUAUACAGCGACAGUCAUCUCCCCACGAUCUUCAACCGAAGAGGGUGGCAGAUAUUGUUAGGCGCUUGGAUGAUGUUUUAAAUUUUCUGUGUAUUGUGUUGUUUCGAUAAAUUCUCAAUCUUUAUUAAUAUUCUUAUUGUUUUUUUAUGGCCCAUCAUUACUCCGUUCAUUAAAAGCUAGUAUCAAAGCAAGAUAGAAUAUGGUGACUAUAAUGCUUGAUGUCAAGAAGUUCUCAGGAGACAACAACUUCAAUUUAUGGAAGAUGGUGUGUUCAUCAUUCUCUAGUUUACUCCUUUUAUCAAAUUGAAACAUUUACC